Molecule: ribosomal RNA, 407 nt
Filed under: uncultured bacterium
Lineage: Bacteria
Description: partial 16S ribosomal RNA
Rfam family: Bacterial small subunit ribosomal RNA
Source: RNAcentral
AUUGAACGCUGGCGGCCGGCCUAACACAUGCAAGUCGAGCGGAGCGGCGGACGGGUGAGUAAUGCUUAGGUAUCUGCCUGUUAGUGGGGGAUAACGUUCGGAACCGGGCGCUAAUACCGCUUACUAUCAGAUGCGCCUAGGUCGGAUUAGCUAGUUGGUGGGGUAAAGGCCUACAAAGGCGACGAUCCGUAACUGGUCUGAGAGUAUGAUCAGUCACACUGGAACUGAGACACGGUCCAGACUCCUACGGGAGGCAGCAGUGGGGAAUAUUGGACAAUGGGCGAAAGCCUGAUCCAGCCAUGCCGCGUGUGUGAAGAAGGUCUUCGGAUUGUAAAGCACUUUAAGUUGGGAGGCGUUACCAACAGAAUAAGCACCGGCUAACUUCGUGCCAGCAGCCGCGGUAAUAC